ACGCGACCCAGGUCAGCGGACACCCGCUG
This 29-nucleotide ribosomal RNA is filed under the name Senega mexicana. RNAcentral describes it as "Polygala scoparia partial 26S ribosomal RNA". Lineage: Eukaryota; Viridiplantae; Streptophyta; Magnoliopsida; Fabales; Polygalaceae. The record is from RNAcentral.